GACGAACGCUGGCGGCGUGCCUAAUACAUGCAAGUAGAACGCUGAAGGAGGAGCUUGCUUCUCCGGAUGAGUUGCGAACGGGUGAGUAACGCGUAGGUAACCUGCCUGGUAGCGGGGGAUAACUAUUGGAAACGAUAGCUAAUACCGCAUAAUAGUAGAUGUUGCAUGACAUUUGCUUAAAAGGUGCAAUUGCAUCACUACCAGAUGGACCUGCGUUGUAUUAGCUAGUUGGUGGGGUAACGGCUCACCAAGGCGACGAUACAUAGCCGACCUGAGAGGGUGAUCGGCCACACUGGGACUGAGACACGGCCCAGACUCCUACGGGAGGCAGCAGUAGGGAAUCUUCGGCAAUGGACGGAAGUCUGACCGAGCAACGCCGCGUGAGUGAAGAAGGUUUUCGGAUCGUAAAGCUCUGUUGUAAGAGAAGAACGAGUGUGAGAGUGGAAAGUUCACACUGUGACGUAUCUACCAGAAAGACGCA
RNAcentral lists this ribosomal RNA (481 nucleotides) under Streptococcus mitis. Its description in RNAcentral is "bacterial SSU rRNA". It matches the Rfam family "Bacterial small subunit ribosomal RNA", at positions 28 to 495 of the family's 1533-position model. Lineage: Bacteria; Bacillati; Bacillota; Bacilli; Lactobacillales; Streptococcaceae. The record is from RNAcentral.